UGAAGACAGGUGAGAUAGUGAGGAAGAUAACUAUUAUUGUAUAUUUGGGGAAAUUCUCAGUGUGCUUUUUUUUUAUAUAGAUGUUUUCAAUUACAGUCAUGUUGACAUCUCAACAUUUUAGUAGAGGCUCAAAAAAGGGAAGGACUUUAUUGCACAGCUGCUGGUUUCGGAUGUACGAGCCUGGCUUUAACCCCAACUGGUUUACUCAUAGUAGUAGCUGCAUUAGUGGUGAUAGCGGGAUUGUUCUUGUACUUUGCACAUAAGAACAAGAAAAAUAAGAACUGACUGAUGAGUUCAUUCCCCUGGAGUUGACUGCAAAAGAUCAAUGGAAUCGUAACUCCACAAUAAAAACAAAGAUGGCUGAUAA
This is a long non-coding RNA of Micropterus dolomieu (smallmouth bass), 367 nucleotides long. RefSeq lists it as uncharacterized. Lineage: Eukaryota; Metazoa; Chordata; Actinopteri; Centrarchiformes; Centrarchidae. The transcript has 3 exons. The record is from RefSeq and is a predicted model, not a curated record.